ACUUUCUGAGUAUAGCAAUACUUAUGACUUCCAAUCAUUAAACCCCAGAUAAAAACUGAGAGAAAGUA
Molecule: transfer RNA, 68 nt
Filed under: Herpele squalostoma
Lineage: Eukaryota; Metazoa; Chordata; Amphibia; Gymnophiona; Herpelidae
Description: tRNA-Gly
Source: RNAcentral